RNAcentral lists this unclassified non-coding RNA (512 nucleotides) under Hevea brasiliensis (rubber tree). Lineage: Eukaryota; Viridiplantae; Streptophyta; Magnoliopsida; Malpighiales; Euphorbiaceae. The record is from RNAcentral.
CUUGGAACAUAUUCUACAUUGUGACCAAUAGAAGGCCUCCAGGUGGACAGAGUAUCACUUCAAUUAAUUAAACCCAGAAAUCAAAUUAUUCAAAUUAGCAAUUCUUAAAAUACAACUUCUGCACUAUUUCAUUUCAUAAAAAUACUCUCAAAGCAUUUGGUUCAAGGGUGAAGCGUUCUGGAAUCGUUCUAGAAUGCAAUACCAUAUCGCAAUACUCACCGAGCGACCAUCGCCAGCAUCGCUAUAGCCAGGAGGUUGCCGGUACAACUGCGGUGAGGCUAGGCGUGUCCUUCACUCUGGUGUUCUGAAGCUCUUGUUCUUAUGUGAAUUGGAUCUAGAUCUCGAAGUAGAAGGUCCAUACCAUAUGAGCUGCCGCUGUUUUCACAAAUAUUACACCUCUAUCAUCACUCUUAUUUACAAAUCUGCCAUUCUCCAUUUUGAUCAGUUUUUGUUCUGGGGUGUUCUUGUUUUCUUUUGGGGUUUUGAUCUUUUGUUUUGUGUUCUUAUUUUGG